CCUACGGGGUGCAGCAGUGGGGAAUAUUGGACAAUGGGCGAAAGCCUGAUCCAACCAUGCCGCGUGUGUGAAGAAGGCCUUCGGGUUGUAAAGCACUUUCAGUGGGGAAGAAAGCCUUGGGGCUAAUACCCUCGAGGAAGGACAUCACCCACAGAAGAAGCACCGGCUAACUCCGUGCCAGCAGCCGCGGUAAUACGGAGGGUGCGAGCGUUAAUCGGAAUUACUGGGCGUAAAGCGCGCGUAGGCGGUCUGAUAAGCCGGUUGUGAAAGCCCCGGGCUCAACCUGGGAACGGCAUCCGGAACUGUCCGGCUAGAGUGCAGGAGAGGAAGGUAGAAUUCCCGGUGUAGCGGUGAAAUGCGUAGAGAUCGGGAGGAAUACCAGUGGCGAAGGCGGCCUUCUGGACUGACACUGACGCUGAGGUGCGAAAGCGUGGGUAGCAAACAGGAUUAGAUACCCGAGUAGUC
RNAcentral lists this ribosomal RNA (465 nucleotides) under Vreelandella stevensii. Its description in RNAcentral is "partial 16S ribosomal RNA". It matches the Rfam family "Bacterial small subunit ribosomal RNA", at positions 338 to 795 of the family's 1533-position model. Lineage: Bacteria; Pseudomonadati; Pseudomonadota; Gammaproteobacteria; Oceanospirillales; Halomonadaceae. The record is from RNAcentral.